This 272-nucleotide ribosomal RNA is filed under the name uncultured Sphingobacteriales bacterium. Its description in RNAcentral is "partial 16S ribosomal RNA". It matches the Rfam family "Bacterial small subunit ribosomal RNA", at positions 1114 to 1382 of the family's 1533-position model. Lineage: Bacteria; Pseudomonadati; Bacteroidota; Sphingobacteriia; Sphingobacteriales. The record is from RNAcentral.
GUUCGCCUACCAGGUAAUGCUGGGGACUCUAAAGGAACUGCCUACGCAAGUAGUGAGGAAGGCGGGGAUGACGUCAAAUCAGCACGGCCCUUACGUCCAGGGCUACACACGUGCUACAAUGGCCGAUACAGAGGGCAGCUACCUGGUGACAGGAUGCAAAUCUACCAAAGUCGGUCUCAGUUCGGAUCGGAGUCUGCAACCCGACUCCGUGAAGUUGGAUUCGCUAGUAAUCGCGCAUCAGCCAUGGCGCGGUGAAUACGUUCCCGGGCCUU